AAAAGGAGCAUAUAUAUAUAUGCAGCUGAUAAAAUAUAGACCGGUUUAUGGUUUGCAGAGAUCUACCCCAAAAAUUGUGGAAUGUAUGGUACCAAAUAUAUUGCUUGUCAAAGGCCGUGUCAUGAAUAUGGCAAGGAACAAUUUUACAGAAAUUAUCGACAAGAAGCUCGCGAGGAUUAAGAUAAUCACGGUUCUAUUACGUCAGCACAAAAGAACGAAAAGUCGCGACAAUGACGCACGUUCUACUGGCCGGGAAUUUACCCAAUGCAAACAAAAACCAGAUUUAACAAACGACUCUUUCGAUGUGCAAACAAGUUUCGAGUACACGCCUGUCAAGCCUGCUCAAUCAUUCCUUUCGCAUUCGCGCAAAAUCACAUGGCCUCGAGGGCAUGAAGAGUAAACGAAAGGGAAUCCCGUCUGACGUCAUGACACUUCCCAUUUGAUCAGGCCAACAUGGCGCAGACCAGAAACUCGUGCUGCGAAGCAGAUAAAUGACUCUGUUGUGUACUCUUAAGUCUUUUGCUUGUCUGGCCUUUUGCGUGGAGAGUAGCUUUAAUUUGCUACUAGAAUAAAAAUUCUUGGCUGACAACCUCCAGUUUUGCUGCAGAUGUACCAUUAUGCCUCCGUAUCGCAAAGCUGUAGCAGACGAGAGUUAAACUGCAGCAGAUAUGCUAAGCUUCAUAUAAACCAUAGUCCGUCUCUUUCUACUUGGUUAAUGAAAAACGUGCUCGUGUAGACCAAGUUGAGUGGAUGUGAUAGAACUCGACGUGCAGUUUGAUUCCUGCGAAGAGGCAUGCUAAGUACCAUAAAUAUUAUCUUCCUGAAAAGAACUGUGGGCUUUUCCCCCUCGUUAGAUCAGAUAAUCCAUUUAUGUGAAACGAAUUGGUGCGUGCGAGGAUGGAAUACCUUUUAUGAAACAGUAACAGAACGGCUGUGACCGAAUCAACAUGUUUACUUUGAAAGUCGUAAAGGCAGAUACAUGUACUUAAAUAGGUGCAGUGGAGUGGAACGUGUGGAUACUCCGACCACUCGUCUCAAUCACGCGAAGGUUGAUCUCGUCGUAAAGGUUGUUCAUUUACCUCAUAGUAUUUAGGCGGUAUUUUGUUGAUGCAGAAAGUAGAUAAUUCAAAGUUCAAACCAGUCGGUUUCUUUAAAGUUGAAAUUGAAGUUACACCUCCCAAAUUCUGAUAAGAGCCAAGGUCAGGAGAACAUGGCUAGAAACAACAGUGAAGCCACAGUUGACCAGGGUAGCUACCUUCUGCAAGAUCAGGAUUAUGGAGGGGAAAUUUUAAGCAAGCUGAAUGCAUUCAGAAGUGAGUGUUUUUUUACAGACACUAUUUUGUGUGUUGGUCAUGAAGAGUUUCCUUGUCAUCGAAAUGUGCUUGCUGUCAGUAGCCCUUAUUUUCAAGCAAUGUUUACUAGUGACUUAAAAGAAAGCAGGGAAGUCCGAAUCUCUUUUAGUGAUGUAUCACCAUGGACUUUGAAACGUGUCAUAGAUUAUGCCUACAGUGGGCAGUUGGAGAUUACACAUGACAAUGCCCAGGAAAUGUUAGCAGCAGGCAAUCAUUUUGAGUAUCCUCGGAUAGUAGAUGCAUGUGCAGAAUUUUUAUGCCGUCAGCUGCAUCCUUCAAACUGUCUAGAGAUAGAGAACUUUGCAGCUUUGCACAACUGCACAAAAUUGCAGCAACGUGCAAAUGCAUUUGUGUUGGAGAAUUUUUUGCAGGUUGUUGAGCAUGAUGAGUUUUUGGAACUCCCUGUUGAUCGCCUCAAGUUGUACAUUAGUAGUGAUUUUAUUGAUGUCAGGAAUGAGGAGAGUGUGUAUGAGGCAGUCAUGAGGUGGAUUAGAUAUGACAUAGAUGAUCGUAAGGCUUUCCUGCCUGUUUUGAUGGAAGAGAUCAGGCUACCUAUGCUGGACAUGCAUAGUCUUAGCCUUAUUGAGCGAGAUCCACUUGUGGCAGCAUCAGCCGAGUGUUAUGCCAUGGUGGCCCAUGCACAGCAUUUUAAAGCUUCACAGGAGGGACAAGCUGGCAAGCGAAGAAAAAGCAUGCAAGACUCACAAGUUCAACCACGGCCAUCUACUGUGGCAAAAGAGGUGGUGGUUGUUAUUGGUGGGAUUCCAGUAGAUCGAUAUAUCACACAGACAGUAGAAAUGUUCGAUCUUCAAAAGGGCAAAUGGUUGACCCUGCCAGAUUUCCCCAAACCUGUGUCCUGGUUCUCUGCAUCUGUCCUUGAUGAUGCCAUCUAUGUGACUGGCGGCAUUCAUGAUGGUCACAUCAUCGCCAACACUUGGCGCUUUGAUGCAGUGAAGCACAAGUGGCAGGAAGCACAGCCCAUGCUGAAGCCACGUGCACGGCAUUCGUCAGCAGUACUAGAUGAUAAGUUAUAUGUCGUUGGUGGUGAGCGUUAUGAGCUCAUCAUGCUCAGUGUAGAGACAAUCGAAUGCUACAAUCCAGCAACAAAAACAUGGACUGCUGCUGGGCGCACAAUGUUUCCAAGGAAACAGUCUUGUUUGGUGCCAUACAACUCUACUAUAGUAGAAGUGGGAGGCCUUUUAGGGGAUGAUGCUAUUGCGGAUACCAUGAACAGCUACCAUAUUGUUGAGGGCAUGAUCAAACCAACUGGUGAGCAAUUCGUGUUGCCAAAGGCCAUCCAUUAUGCCCAGAUUGUGGUGAUUGGUGACAUUUUUUACAUUAUUUGGGAGGAUACCAAAGAGAUCAUUGCACUCAACGCUGCCAAAAGAACUUUCAAACGUCUUCCAGGUAUGAAAUAUGCUCGGAAGCAUAGUGGAGCUGUCAUGCUGAAUGACAAAAUUUAUGUGAUAGGUGGUUUAAUUGACACUAAACCUAGCAGUAUUGUUGAGUGUUUUGAUCCAGAAACAAACACCUGGACAGAAGAAAAAAGCUUGAUCGAAGGAAGAGCAAUACAUGGUUGUGUGAAGUUAAGGAUGUGUUGAGGGGAGAUAAAGCCACCAGUCCCUUACCCACUGCUUUUAUGAGAUUUGACAGAUGGGGGGAUUGGAUAUUGACCAUGAAAGCAGUACAUAAUGCAAACAGGGUCAUUAGCCACAAGUUAAUGUAUCCCCAGACCCCCUAUUCCCACUGUCUAAUUGUCAUGGUUUUCUUUUUUAAGGCUUUUGCUGCCACCUGCGAAGUCGAUUUCUUUUCUGCGUGUUUUGCAACUCAUAAAGAUGCUCUGGAAGUUCUAAGUGUUCUAAAAUCUUGCCGUUAAAAUCAGUUUUGAAUAAAAAGUACAUCAGAAAUUAGAAAAGUGAGCCUAUGUUAAAACAUGCAAGAUAACCAAGAUUGCUUAAAAUUUGUUCUUAAAUUUCAACUUGACUGAUUUUCUUUUUAAAUGCUGUGUUCCUAUAUUCUUUAAGGAGCUUUGUCAUUCCUCAGGACAAAUGAUAAAGUAGUAAUAUAUAAAUAAAAGUCAGAUAUUGUCACUGAAAGCUUUUAAAAAAGUGAGUUUCCUCGGAGAAGUAAAUGAAGCGUGAUGGUGGAUGUGACUUUAGGACACAUGAACUGCUAACGGUGCUAACUAAAAUGGAUAUAUGGGUGUAGUGUUAUCAUUUAAUAACAGUAAAGAUUUGAGCCAUGCUAACAUAGGUGUUGAUGACUUUUGUAUGUUUUUCUUUUUCACUGCAUUUGUGAAAUGGAGCUGACCAAACAGUAUUUAAUUUUUUUAUCGUAAACUCGUUAUUUUUUAUGCUCGCAGAGUAUUUUUUAUAGAGGGAGGGGUAGUGAUGUUAUUCUGAGAAGCAGAUGAUUGUUGUGGUAAUGCGCCUUCUUGCUACAUGUUGUGCUAGUAAAUGUUUGAAGUGCUUUAAUUCGAUUUAAAAUUGUGCUUACGUGGUAUGUGUUUUCUAAUGGUGAUAUUAUGUUUGCUCAUUUCUUCAUUUUGUUAAAACUGUUAUUUGAUAUUACUAUUUUUGCUUUAGUAAAAAGAAGCAUGUGUGAUCAUUUUAAACUUCUAGAAAAAAAUUUGUCAUGAACAAUAUAAAUUUGGCAUUUGCUGUUUGACAUAUAAAAGUAUGCUACCCACAUAGUGGUAACAUUUUUCAAAAGCCAUGGUAAAGAAAUUUAUUGCUUUAAGGUUUUUUAAUGAUUUAUUUGAAAUUUCUUUUGCUGCAAUUUUAAAAUCAAAUAUGUACCACUACUACUGUUAAUUUUCACCAAAAGACUUGACCACAGUAUUGCUUGGAUAUGAAACAAUCAAGAUUUAUGAUGUUAAUAACAAGUGUUGAAAACAAAAUAUAGUAAAUGAUUUUGCAGUGUUAAGACUUUGAAGAUGCAGUGGUGAAGUGGUAUGAAGUGCUAUUAUAUGCUUGUAUAGCUAGGAGUAAGUCUAGUUGGAACAAAAAAUUUGGAACAUUGUUUGCUACUGCAUGAACCAAAAUAACAACAGCAAAAAGUAAAGAACUUGCUUUCCUUUUG
Molecule: unclassified non-coding RNA, 4433 nt
Filed under: Pomacea canaliculata
Lineage: Eukaryota; Metazoa; Mollusca; Gastropoda; Architaenioglossa; Ampullariidae
Description: kelch-like protein 21, transcript variant X1
Source: RNAcentral